This 430-nucleotide ribosomal RNA is filed under the name uncultured Desulfobulbaceae bacterium. RNAcentral's name for it is "bacterial SSU rRNA". It matches the Rfam family "Bacterial small subunit ribosomal RNA", at positions 355 to 776 of the family's 1533-position model. Lineage: Bacteria; Pseudomonadati; Thermodesulfobacteriota; Desulfobulbia; Desulfobulbales; Desulfobulbaceae. The record is from RNAcentral.
UGAGGAAUUUUGCACAAUGGGGGAAACCCUGAUGCAGCGACGCCGCGUGAGUGACGAAGGCCUUCGGGUCGUAAAGCUCUGUCAGUAGGGAAGAAAUGUGCGAUGGCUAAUAUCCAUUGUAUUUGACGGUACCUACAAAGGAAGCACCGGCUAACUCCGUGCCAGCAGCCGCGGUAAUACGGAGGGUGCGAGCGUUGUUCGGAUUUACUGGGCGUAAAGGGCGCGUAGGCGGCCUGUCAAGUCAUAUGUGAAAGCCCACGGCUCAACCGUGGAAGUGCAUGUGAAACUGGCAGGCUUGAGUACUGGAGGGGAGUGUGGAAUUCCCGGUGUAGAGGUGAAAUUCGUAGAUAUCGGGAGGAAUACCGGUGGCGAAGGCGACACUCUGGACAGAUACUGACGCUGAGGCGCGAAAGCGUGGGGAGCAAACAGG